GAUGAACGCUGGCGGCGUGCCUAAUACAUGCAAGUCGAGCGAACGGACGAGAAGCUUGCUUCUCUAAUGUUAGCGGCGGACGGGUGAGUAACACGUGGAUAACCUACCUAUAAGACUGGGAUAACUUCGGGAAACCGUAGCUAAUACCGGAUAAUAUUUUGAACCGCAUGGUUCAAAAGUGAAAGACGGUCUUGCUGUCACUUAUAGAUGGAUCCGCGCUGCAUUAGCUAGUUGGUAAGGUAACGGCUUACCAAGGCAACGAUGCAUAGCCGACCUGAGAGGGGGAUCGGCCCCCCGGGAACUGAGACACGGUCCAGACCCCUACGGGAGGCAGGAGGAGGGAAUCUUCCGCAAUGGGGGAAAGCCUGACGGGGCAACGCCGGGGGGGUGAAGAAGGUCUUCGGUUCGUAAAACUUUUUUAUUGGGGAAAAAAAUUUGUGUAAGUAACUGUGCAACUCUUGACGGUACCAAAGCAGAAAGCCACGGCUAACCACGU
RNAcentral lists this ribosomal RNA (496 nucleotides) under uncultured bacterium. RNAcentral describes it as "partial 16S ribosomal RNA". It matches the Rfam family "Bacterial small subunit ribosomal RNA", at positions 28 to 506 of the family's 1533-position model. The record is from RNAcentral.